UGAGGUGAUCGAUGUGUGGUAAUGGGAAACUGUCUACGCAGACUCUCCAUUUGCCGUUUUUCUUUU
RNAcentral lists this small RNA (66 nucleotides) under Arabidopsis thaliana (thale cress). RNAcentral's name for it is "ATSL203250". Lineage: Eukaryota; Viridiplantae; Streptophyta; Magnoliopsida; Brassicales; Brassicaceae. The record is from RNAcentral.